Molecule: long non-coding RNA, 233 nt
Filed under: Populus trichocarpa (black cottonwood)
Lineage: Eukaryota; Viridiplantae; Streptophyta; Magnoliopsida; Malpighiales; Salicaceae
Description: long non-coding RNA (PTRI_LNC000208)
Source: RNAcentral
GGUGAUAGAGAAAAUGAUGAGUAAUGACUUGACUGGGGCUGGCGGUUGAGUUUGGUGGUUCUGGUUAAAAAAAAGAGGAACUUCUAGGUGGCUAAGGAGUAAAUGGGUCAUUAGAUUAGGUUGAAGUCUGUAGCUGGUGGUGGUUCUAGUGGAUUUUUGGAUCUGUGAUGGUGGUUUGCUCGGUGAAGGCUGGUGGGAGGUACUGCUGUGGGUAUUUGUGGGUGGUCGGAGUU